UGCCAGCAGCCGCGGUAAUACGAAGGUCCCAAGCGUUGUUCGGAAUCACUGGGCGUAAAGAGUUGCGUAGGCGGCUUUGUAAGUUGGUAGUGAAAGCGUGCGGCUCAACCGCAUAAUCAUUAUCAAAACUGCAGAGCUAGAGUAUAUGAGAGGUCACUGGAAUUCCUUGUGUAGGAGUGAAAUCCGUAGAUAUAAGGAGGAACACCAAUGGCGUAGGCAGGUGACUGGCAUAUUACUGACGCUAAGGCACGAAAGCGUGGGGAGCAAACAGGAUUAGAUA
Molecule: ribosomal RNA, 280 nt
Filed under: uncultured bacterium
Lineage: Bacteria
Description: partial 16S ribosomal RNA
Rfam family: Bacterial small subunit ribosomal RNA
Source: RNAcentral